AAUACGCAACCAAAUCUCCAAGUAUUAUUUAUGUUUCUGGUAAAGGCGUUUGAUUGGGUAUUAGUUUGAGGUAGGCGUGUUUUCGGAAACAUUCCUCCAAUCAACUGACCUAUUUGACAUACAUGUGUGCGCUGAUGCGUGUACACUGGCUAUUGUAACGGCACGUGUGACUGUCUCACAUCGAAAUCUGUCGAGCGUGACCAAUGUUUAUUGUAGAAAUUUUUGUCAUGUGGUCAAAUUAUUUGACAUACAAGUUUUAAAGGCUAAAACUUAAAUUUGCAUUUUGAAAGAUUAUUUUCGG
This 301-nucleotide long non-coding RNA is filed under the name Mytilus galloprovincialis (Mediterranean mussel). The record is from RNAcentral. Lineage: Eukaryota; Metazoa; Mollusca; Bivalvia; Mytilida; Mytilidae.